GCCGUAAACGAUGUCUACUUGGAGGUUGUGCCCUUGAGGCGUUGGCUUUCCGGAGCUGAACGCCGGUUCAAGUGAGAGCCGACCUGGGGGAAGUAACGGCCGCGAAGUUGAAAACUCAAAUGAAAUUGAUUGCAGGGGGCCCGCACAAGCGGUGGAGCAUGUGGUUUAAUUCGAUGCAACGCGAAGAACCUUACCUGGUCUUGACAUCCACAGAACUUUCCAGAGAUGGAUUGGUGCCUUCGGGAACUGUGAGACAGGUGCUGCAUGGCUGUCGUCAGCUCGUGUUGUGAAAUGUUGGGUUAAGUCCCGCAACGAGCGCAACCCUUAUCCUUUGUUGCCAGCGGUCCGGCCGGGAACUCAAAGGAGACUGCCAGUGAUAAACUGGAGGAAGGUGGGGAUGACGUCAAGUCAUCAUGGCCCUUACGACCAGGGCUACACACGUGCUACAAUGGCGCAUACAAAGAGAAGCGACCUCGCGAGAGCAAGCGGACCUCAUAAAGUGCGUCGUAGUCCGGAUUGGAGUCUGCAACUCGACUCCAUGAAGUCGGAAUCGCUAGUAAUCGUGGAUCAGAAUGCCACGGUGAAUACGUUCCCGGGCCUUGUACACACCGCCCGUCACACCAUGGGAGUGGGUUGCAAAAGAAGUAGGUAGCUUAACCUUCGGGAGGGCGCUUACCACUUUGUGAUUCAUGACUGGGGUGAAGUCGUAACAAGGUAACCGUAGGGGAACCUGCGGUUGGAUCACCUCCUUACCUGAAAGAAGC
This 764-nucleotide ribosomal RNA is filed under the name Salmonella enterica subsp. enterica serovar Panama str. SA20030878. RNAcentral's name for it is "bacterial SSU rRNA". It matches the Rfam family "Bacterial small subunit ribosomal RNA", at positions 799 to 1533 of the family's 1533-position model. Lineage: Bacteria; Pseudomonadati; Pseudomonadota; Gammaproteobacteria; Enterobacterales; Enterobacteriaceae. The record is from RNAcentral.